RNAcentral lists this ribosomal RNA (507 nucleotides) under uncultured bacterium. RNAcentral describes it as "partial 16S ribosomal RNA". The record is from RNAcentral.
GGAGUUAGCCGGUGCUUCUUCUGUGAGUGAUGUCCUUCCUGCCGGCUAUUAACCCGCAGGCCUUCUUCCUCACUGAAAGUGCUUUACAACCCGAAGGCCUUCUUCACACACGCGGCAUGGCUGGAUCAGGGUUGCCCCCAUUGUCCAAUAUUCCCCACUGCUGCCUCCCGUAGGAGUCUGGGCCGUGUCUCAGUCCCAGUGUGGCUGAUCAUCCUCUCAGACCAGCUACGGAUCGUCGCCUUGGUGAGCCGUUACCUCACCAACCAGCUAAUCCGACAUAGGCUCAUCCGACAGCGCGAGGCCCGAAGGUCCCCCGCUUUCCCCCGUAGGGCGUAUGCGGUAUUAGCCUGGGUUUCCCCAGGUUAUCCCCCACUACCGGGCAGAUUCCUAUGCAUUACUCACCCGUCCGCCGCUCGCCACCAGGGAGCAAGCUCCCCGUGCUGCCGCUCGACUUGCAUGUGUUAGGCCUGCCGCCAGCGUUCAAUCUGAGCCAGGAUCAAACUCUGA